AGAGUUUGAUCAUGGCUCAGAGUGAACGCUGGCGGCAGGCCUAAUACAUGCAAGUCGAACGGCAGCACAGCAGAGCUUGCUCUGUGGGUGGCGAGUGGCGGACGGGUGAGGAAUACAUGGGAAUCUGCCCAGUCGUGGGGGAUAACGUAGGGAAACUUACGCUAAUACCGCAUGCGCCCUUCGGGGGAAAGCCGGGGACCUUCGGGCCUGGCGCGAUUGGAUAAGCCCAUGUCGGAUUAGCUAGUUGGCGGGGUAAUGGCCCACCAAGGCGACGAUCCGUAGCUGGUCUGAGAGGAUGAUCAGCCACACUGGAACUGAGACACGGUCCAGACUCCUACGGGAGGCAGCAGUAGGGAAUAUUGGACAAUGGGCGCAAGCCUGAUCCAGCCAUGCCGCGUGAGUGAAGAAGGCCCUCGGGUUGUAAAGCUCUUUUGUCCGGAAAGAAAAGCGCCGGGUUAAUACCCUGGUGUCCUGACGGUACCGGAAGAAUAAGCACCGGCUAACUUCGUG
Molecule: ribosomal RNA, 510 nt
Filed under: uncultured bacterium
Lineage: Bacteria
Description: bacterial SSU rRNA
Rfam family: Bacterial small subunit ribosomal RNA
Source: RNAcentral